UUGGUUAAGUUAGAAAGGGCGCACGGUGGAUGCCUUGGCACUAGGAGCCGAAGAAGGACGGGACUAACACCGAUAUGCUUUGGGGAGCUGUACGUAAGCGUUGAUCCAGAGAUUUCCGAAUGGGGGAACCCACUAUCUUUAGUCGGAUAGUAUCCUUACGUGAAUACAUAGCGUGAGGAAGGCAGACCCAGGGAACUGAAACAUCUAAGUACCUGGAGGAAGAGAAAGAAAAAUCGAUUUCCUGAGUAGCGGCGAGCGAAACGGAAAGAGCCCAAACCAAGAAGCUUGCUUCUUGGGGUUGUAGGACACUCUAUACGGAGUUACAAAAGAAAGUUAUAAAUGAAGCGGUCUGGAAAGGCCCGCCAAAGACGGUAACAGCCCGGUAGUUGAAAUAGCUUUCCCUCCAGAGUGGAUCCUGAGUACGGCGGAACACGUGAAAUUCCGUCGGAAUCCGGGAGGACCAUCUCCCAAGGCUAAAUACUCCCUAGUGACCGAUAGUGAACCAGUACCGUGAGGGAAAGGUGAAAAGCACCCCGGAAGGGGAGUGAAACAGUUCCUGAAACCGUGUGCCUACAAGUAGUUAGAGCCCGUUAAUGGGUGAUAGCGUGCCUUUUGUAGAAUGAACCGGCGAGUUACGAUUUGUUGCAAGGUUAAGCGGAAAAAGCGGAGCCGUAGCGAAAGCGAGUCUGAAUAGGGCGAAUAAGUAACAGGUCGUAGACCCGAAACCAGGUGAUCUACCCAUGUCCAGGAUGAAGGUAAGGUAAUACUUACUGGAGGUCCGAACCCACGCACGUUGAAAAGUGCGGGGAUGAGGUGUGGGUAGCGGAGAAAUUCCAAUCGAACUUGGAGAUAGCUGGUUCUCUCCGAAAUAGCUUUAGGGCUAGCCUCGAGGUAAAGAGUCAUGGAGGUAGAGCACUGUUUGGACUAGGGGCCCUUCUCGGGUUACCGAAUUCAGAUAAACUCCGAAUGCCAUGUACUUAUACUCGGGAGUCAGACUGCGAGUGAUAAGAUCCGUAGUCGAAAGGGAAACAGCCCAGACCACCAGUUAAGGUCCCCAAAUAUAUGUUAAGUGGAAAAGGAUGUGGGGUUGCUUAGACAACCAGGAUGUUGGCUUAGAAGCAGCCACCAUUGAAAGAGUGCGUAAUAGCUCACUGGUCGAGUGACCCCGCGCCGAAAAUGUACCGGGGCUAAACAUAUUACCGAAACUGUGGAUGAACCUCUUUAGAGGUUCGUGGUAGGAGAGCGUUCUAAGGGCGGUGAAGUCAGACCGGAAGGACUGGUGGAGCGCUUAGAAGUGAGAAUGCCGGUAUGAGUAGCGAAAGAAGGGUGAGAAUCCCUUCCACCGAAUAUCUAAGGUUUCCUGAGGAAGGCUCGUCCGCUCAGGGUUAGUCGGGACCUAAGCCGAGGCCGAUAGGCGUAGGCGAUGGACAACAGGUAGAGAUUCCUGUACCAGUGCUAAUUGUUUAACCGAUGGGGUGACACAGAAGGAUAGGGAAUCGCACGAAUGGAAAUGUGCGUCCAAGCAGUGAGUGUGAGAAGUAGGCAAAUCCGCUUCUCGCGAAGCAUGAGCUGUGAUGGGGAAGGAAAUUAAGUACGGAAGUUCCUGAUUUCACGCUGUCAAGAAAAGCCUCUAGGAAGAGUAGUACUGCCCGUACCGCAAACCGACACAGGUAGAUGAGGAGAGAAUCCUAAGGUGAGCGAGAGAACUCUCGUUAAGGAACUCGGCAAAAUGACCCCGUAACUUCGGGAGAAGGGGUGCUCUAUUAGGGUGCAAGCCCGAGAGAGCCGCAGUGAAUAGGCCCAGGCGACUGUUUAGCAAAAACACAGGUCUCUGCAAAACCGUAAGGUGACGUAUAGGGGCUGACGCCUGCCCGGUGCUGGAAGGUUAAGAGGAGUGCUUAGCUUCGGCGAAGGUACGAAUUGAAGCCCCAGUAAACGGCGGCCGUAACUAUAACGGUCCUAAGGUAGCGAAAUUCCUUGUCGGGUAAGUUCCGACCCGCACGAAAGGCGCAACGAUCUGGGCACUGUCUCAACGAGAGACUCGGUGAAAUUAUAGUACCUGUGAAGAUGCAGGUUACCCGCGACAGGACGGAAAGACCCCGUGGAGCUUUACUGCAACCUGAUAUGGAAUGUUUGUACCGCUUGUACAGGAUAGGUAGGAGCCGAAGAGACGUGUGCGCUAGCAUACGAGGAGGCAAUGGUGGGAUACUACCCUGGCUGUAUGACCAUUCUAACCCGCCACGCUUAGCGCGUGGGGAGACAGUGUCAGGUGGGCAGUUUGACUGGGGCGGUCGCCUCCUAAAGAGUAACGGAGGCGCCCAAAGGUUCCCUCAGAAUGGAUGGAAAUCAUUCGCAGAGUGUAAAGGCACAAGGGAGCUUGACUGCGAGACUGACAAGUCGAGCAGGGACGAAAGUCGGGCUUAGUGAUCCGGUGGUUCCG
Molecule: ribosomal RNA, 2440 nt
Filed under: Listeria seeligeri
Lineage: Bacteria; Bacillati; Bacillota; Bacilli; Caryophanales; Listeriaceae
Description: partial 23S ribosomal RNA
Rfam family: Bacterial large subunit ribosomal RNA
Source: RNAcentral